GACGAACGUUGGCGGCGUGCUUAAUACAUGCAAGUCAACUGAAGCAGUGGUAGCAAUAUCGCUGUGGAGGUGGCGCACGGGUGAGUAACACGUAGGUAAUCUGCCUUCAGGUCUGGCAUAACUCCGGGAAACCGGGGCUAAUAGCAGAUGAUGCAGCGGCUCGACAUCGAGACAGUUGUUAAAGCUAUGGCGCCUGAAGAUGAGUCUGCGUCUGAUUAGCUAGUUGGCGGGGUAACGGCCCACCAAGGCAACGAUCAGUAGCUGGUCUGAGAGGAUGAUCAGCCACACUGGAACUGAGACACGGUCCAGACUCCUACGGGAGGCAGCAGUAAGGAAUAUUGCUCAAUGGGAGAAAUCCUGAAGCAGCAACGCCGCGUGAGGGACGAAGGGCUUUUGCUUGUAAACCUCUGUAGUGAGAGAAAAAAAUCCCAAUCUUUGGGACAUGAUGGUAUCUCAAAAGUAAGCCCCGGCUAACUACGUG
RNAcentral lists this ribosomal RNA (481 nucleotides) under uncultured bacterium. Its description in RNAcentral is "partial 16S ribosomal RNA". It matches the Rfam family "Bacterial small subunit ribosomal RNA", at positions 28 to 507 of the family's 1533-position model. The record is from RNAcentral.